GACGAACGCUGGCGGCGUGCUUAACACAUGCAAGUCGAACGGAAAGGCCCUGCUUUUGUGGGGUGCUCGAGUGGCGAACGGGUGAGUAACACGUGAGUAACCUGCCCUUGACUUUGGGAUAACUUCAGGAAACUGGGGCUAAUACCGGAUAGGAGCUCCUGCUGCAUGGUGGGGGUUGGAAAGUUUCGGUGGUUGGGGAUGGACUCGCGGCUUAUCAGCUUGUUGGUGGGGUAGUGGCUUACCAAGGCUUUGACGGGUAGCCGGCCUGAGAGGGUGACCGGCCACAUUGGGGCUGAGAUACGGCCCAGACUCCUACGGGAGGCAGCAGUGGGGAAUAUUGCACAAUGGGCGGAAGCCUGAUGCAGCAACGCCGCGUGCGGGAUGACGGCCUUCGGGUUGUAAACCGCUUUCGCCUGUGACGAAGCGUGAGUGACGGUAAUGGGUAAAGAAGCACCGGCUAACUACGUG
RNAcentral lists this ribosomal RNA (468 nucleotides) under uncultured bacterium. Its description in RNAcentral is "partial 16S ribosomal RNA". It matches the Rfam family "Bacterial small subunit ribosomal RNA", at positions 28 to 507 of the family's 1533-position model. The record is from RNAcentral.